RNAcentral lists this ribosomal RNA (773 nucleotides) under uncultured Neocallimastigales. RNAcentral describes it as "partial large subunit ribosomal RNA". It matches the Rfam family "Eukaryotic large subunit ribosomal RNA", at positions 24 to 642 of the family's 3401-position model. Lineage: Eukaryota; Fungi; Neocallimastigomycota; Neocallimastigomycetes; Neocallimastigales. The record is from RNAcentral.
UAUCUCUGUAGAGUCUGCAUAUCAAUAAGCGGAGGAAAAGAAACUAACAAGGAUUCCCCUAGUAACGGCGAGUGAAGCGGGAAGAGCUCAAAUUUGAAAUCUUAAAGGGUUUCCCUUUACGAAUUGUAGUUUAAAGAAGUGUUUUCUGUUGGUGUUUUGGUAAAAGUUCUUUGGAAUAGGACAUCAUAGAGGGUGAGAAUCCCGUAUUUGACCAUUACUUCCAGCGUUGUGAUACACUUUCAAAGAGUCGGAUUGUUUGGGAAUGCAGUCCAAAAUGGGUGGUAAAUUUCAUCUAAAGCUAAAUAUUGGCGAGAGACCGAUAGCGAACAAGUACCGUGAGGGAAAGAUGAAAAGAACUUUGAAAAGAGAGUUAAACAGUACGUGAAAUUGUCAAAAGGGAAGCGUUUGACACCAGUGUUGUUUUCUCGAAAAUCAAUUAAAAAAAGUUGGAUUUUGUAUUGUUAAGACCUUAUCAGCUUACUGUACUCUUUUCUUGCUUUUUUUAAUGCACUUUUCGUUUAACAAGUCAACAUCAAUUUCUUUUGUUGUAAAAGAGUCAUUGGAAGGUGGCUUUCACUUCGGUGAAAGUGUUUAUAGCCUUUGGCUUCUGCAAUCGGAGAGAUUGAGGUCUGCAGCGUAGAUCCUUCGGGGCUAGAUACGUAGAUGCUAAGUUAUAGUUUUUUAUAGACAACUUGUUGACUAUAAUUAAUCAUGUAGCUUACUCGUUUGCGCUAUUUUACCUACGCUUAGGAUGUUGAAGAUGUAGCACAUCA